AAGUAGCUACUGAAUCAUAUAAGUGUCUUAUGUGAUGUCGUAAGGGAAAAUAAUGAUAUUACCUUACUAAUAGUGUCGUCUAAAACUGGUGCCAGAAGACUCGGUAAGGCCAGAGACACAAAUGUUAAUCGUCUUAAUCAGGCGUAAAGGGUUUGUAGGCUGCUUUGAAAGUAUUGAUUUAGCAUAGCCAAAGUAAAUCAGUAUGAAUUAAAGCUAGAAUCUAAUAGAGGAUAUUUACGAAAUAAUGCUUGGUCGAGGGCUGAUAUCCGAAGACAUCAAGUGGAGUUCCAAUGGCGUAAGCAUUUAUCCAUUAAAGAUUGACGCUGAGAAACGAAGGUGAGGAUAGGAAAUAGGAUUAGAUACCCAGAUACCCCUCUCUGUCAACGAUGAAUGGUAGUUGUUAGUUUAAUACAAACUAGUGACGAAGUUAACACGAUAACCAUUCCGCCUUGUGAGUACGACUGCAAAGUUGAAAACAAAAAAAUUAGUCGGUCUCGGAGCAAACGAAGUGAAGUAUGUUAUUUAAUUCGA
Molecule: ribosomal RNA, 531 nt
Filed under: Steccherinum meridionale
Lineage: Eukaryota; Fungi; Basidiomycota; Agaricomycetes; Polyporales; Steccherinaceae
Description: SSU rRNA
Rfam family: Bacterial small subunit ribosomal RNA
Source: RNAcentral